CCUACGGGAGGCAGCAGUGAGGAAUAUUGGUCAAUGGGCGCGAGCCUGAACCAGCCAAGUAGCGUGAAGGAUGACUGCCCUACGGGUUGUAAACUUCUUUUAUAAAGGAAUAAAGUGAGGCACGUGUGCCUUUUUGUAUGUACCUUAUGAAUAAGGAUCGGCUAACUCCGUGCCAGCAGCCGCGGUAAUACGGAGGAUCCGAGCGUUAUCCGGAUUUAUUGGGUUUAAAGGGUGCGUAGGCGGCCUUUUAAGUCAGCGGUGAAAGUCUGGGGCUCAACCAUAGAAGUGCCGUUGAAACUGGGGGGCUUGGGUAUGGUUGAGGCAAGCGGGAAGCGUGGUGGAACGGGGGAAUGCUUAGAUAACACGAAGAACUCCGAUUGCGAAGGCAGGUUACUAAACUGCCACUGACAUCGAUGCUCGAAAGUGUGGGGAUCAAACAGGAUUAGAUACCCUUGUUAGUC
This 461-nucleotide ribosomal RNA is filed under the name uncultured bacterium. Its description in RNAcentral is "partial 16S ribosomal RNA". It matches the Rfam family "Bacterial small subunit ribosomal RNA", at positions 338 to 795 of the family's 1533-position model. The record is from RNAcentral.